GUAAGAGAUGGAUGAAAACUUUAUUUAGGCAAAUUAUCCUUUCACUCAUAUGAAGGAAAUGCAAGUAUUAAUAUCAGGAGCAAGUAUUCAUAUUCAGUAUUAUCUCUUAUUUUCAAACAAUUGCAAAGCAUGUUCCUGUGGUGCUCUAGGGUUGAGUCAGAAGUUGCAGCCAUUAAAAAGCCCUCUGUCAAGGAGAAAAUGUGAUUAGACCAACUGCUUGCACUGACACUUAAAAAUUAACUGCAAAUCUGUUUGGGGCAGCUAAGGCAUUCCCUAAACAGUUGCUGGUUGGGAAUGUUGGCUUUCGAAUCAUUAUUUUGUAUCCCUUAAAGGUACGUUUUAACUGUUUUAAUAUGUGAGGAACAGGCCUGCCAAAUUGUGCUUAUGGCUUUUUAACACAAGCAAUUUACAAAUGCAAUGAAGCAGAUAAUAGGACACAUGAUACUGAAUUUGAAAAUCUGUGUUGAUGACACUGCUGCUGUAGAAACAUUUUUGGAAGCAGCCCUCUAUCCAGUUGCCUGGAUAAGAAAAAUGUUGUUUAUCAUUUCACAGGUGGCCUCUUUCACCCAAUGGUGAGUUUAGGGUCAUGUCCUUGAGCACAAAUCAGUCUCUCUCAGACUAACAAUAUUACACUUGAAAUCCCCUGGAAUCUAUGCAUUUAGGAAAAUACAACACACAGCAAAAAUCUCACUCAACACUAAAAACAAAACUAGUCAAGUAACCGUCAAAACUAAGUGCUUUCAUUUUAAAAUGAAGACUUCUGACAAAGUUUAGUUAGGUAGUUUUAUCUGUAAACACAUGUAUUUGUGAAGAAUGCAAAAAGAUAUUUUAUACUGGUCCAAACUAUAGAUGCAAUAAAUUUUUCAUUACAAAGCUUUACAAGAAUAAUUUUUAAAACAAUUGAACUGGAGUUCUUUAAAUUUCUUACUUUUUAUGGGAAAAAAAUAAUUUUACUUUGGUAAAAGAAUGUUUCCAAGCAAUGAUCUGAUAGGUAGGCUCAUUUUAGCUCCAAAGUAAGACUAAAAACAUAGUGUGACUUCCUUUCAUAUUCACUCUCCAUCACUGUUAUCUUUGUUCUUCAAAAGGUCACUUGAGUGAGCUCUUAGUUAUGAAAAUAUGGUUUCUCCCAUCCCCAUAUCCCUUGGGAUGGGAAGACUAAUUAGCUUUAAGAGAAGGAAGGGAUGAGAAUUCAAAGUUUUCGCUUUGAGAUUUCAAUUUAGGACAGAACAGACCGACCCUAAACUAGGUAGAUAGGCAGAAAGGAAUGAAAACAAAUACCCAAAAUGAGAACUUUCCAUAAAGACAGAGACUGGGCUGAAUUAUGUAAACCUCUUCCUCUCUGUACUUGGUACUUUCAGUGUACUAUUUCCAGUUGACCCACAAUACCCUUCCUUUAAUCCUUUGCACUAUCUAUAAAUUACCUACACAUCCUUGCCCUUUACUGGUCUGUUUUGGCUUGGUUCAUUUUCUCUUAGAGAAGCAACCUCUAACCUCGCCAAAUUCAAGGAGGAGAGAGGUGGACCCCACCUCCUGAUGGAAGGAAUAGCAAAGAAUUUGUGGCCAUGUAUUGACUAGUAUAGUCCAGCCUCUGGCCACAAUUUUUUUAUGUUUUCUUUACAAUUAAAUAUGCUUUUAAUCUCUCAGGAUCCCCAUAUGCCUUGUGCAGUCAGAUGUUGCAUGGUGUUCAGUCAUCUGAAAACCCUACAGGACUAAUGGUAGAGAUUAUCUAUUCCUGGGACCUCAGCCCAGCCUAUCCGCUAGAAUCCCUACAAGUGGUUUCACCAUGUUGCUUGGGUUUCUCACAGGAUUGUGACAGAGUUCUAGGCUUAUUUGCUUAAUUUACUACCUUGUUAAGUUCCUACCUUUCCAACUAAUGGGAAUAGUUAUUCCUGAGGAAGAUUACAAAAUAAAACCAAAAACGAACUUUGGACCCUAACUCCCAAGUGCUCCCUGUGUAAACACAACAAUGAAAUAACUAACUCUCUCAACUAUAAAUCCAUUUGAAAAGAAAAAGAAAUAAAACAAUUAUUGAAUGUUAAAAUUGUGCUGCUAUUGUAUAGGUAAUGUUAGCACAAGGAUAGCAAGAACAAUUUGCAUAAUAAAUAUUCCUAUUCUUUUUUUCUAGUUAGUACAAUAAUUGAACAGCACCCAUCAGUGAAGGAGGACAAAAGAGGGCUAUUAUCAUAAACAUUAGUUUGAUCUUUCAAGGAGAUUUGAUUACCUUCUACCCAGAUUCCAUUUCCCCCACUUGAACGGCGGUUCUGCCUUUCAUCAGUUGAAUGUCAAGUGCCUUUGCUGCAUCCAAGUGCUACCAAGCUGGCCAAAUUCCACAUAAAGGGCAAAGAACAGCUUUUUCGUGGUAGAAUUUAUAAGAAGCAUGGCUCUUUCAUGAUAACACCUCUCAUGAAAAGAACGCAGAUGCAAGAUAAGCUAAGAAGGUCAUGAUCUUAAAAAAUGAUGAAAGAUGCAAAACUACUUAACACACCAGUAAAACUGACUUAGCUUCAUCUUUCCCCAGGUAAGGAUAUAUAUUUUCAUGUUAAAAAAAAAAAUUCUUAAAACUCCUACUAACCUCUGCCAAAUGUUUUCCUUCGUUCUUCGUUUAGUCCAACAUUGAAGGAGUUAAAUUUAAUCUUGGAAACACGCUAGUAAGGCUAUUCAUAGUUCAGGGAUGAGGAAUGAAUAUAUGCAUAUGUAUAUAUUCAAUUUUGUGAGUCACUCAUUUUAAUCAGUAACAUAAGGAUUAAUUCAGAGAAAACACUAAAUCAAUCCAAUAUUGAAAACAGUUUUUCAUUGAGGAACAUUUAUCUUUCAAUUUUCUUGUAUGAAUUAAGGCAUUUACAUACUGAAUCUGGAGAUCUUGAACAAAAAGACAAAUACCUCUUCUCACUCCAGAGGGAAUGACAGUAUGUCCUUCCACCCAUUCCUUCUACUGUGCUGACAAGGGAGACAGUAGAGUGGCUUUCCCACCUCUAGAUAAACACAGAAGGCAUUCCUCGGUGGAUUAUAGCAGAUUGGCUCUGAGAUACAGAGGAGAGACUUACUCAAUUACGCCAUAAGGCCUCCUAAAGGAAAGAUUUCAGGCACGAGAAAUACGGAAGAACUCUAGGCGCAUAACCUGGAGACCUAGAUUCAAACCCCAGCUUUGCCACUGAGAUCAGGUACUCCUGGUUAAGCCUUUCCACCUCUCUGUGCCUGCAAUCCCAAAACAGAAUGCUGAACCAAAUAAACUUUAAAGUUCUUUAAAGGGGUUGAUCACCUGUCAGAGUUUUGUACCCCAAAUUUCAUCUCAGUAUCUGCUCCUGGAGAACUCAAUCUGCAAUACAUGCCUCCAUGGGUCUGUCUUCUUCAUUCUCUGAUUCUCCUGCAAGGUCCAACUCAAAUAAUACCCUCAAGAAACAUUUCUUGAUCAUUCUAAUCAGGAAUAGUUAUUCAUUUUACUCACUUUACUGUCCUCCUGAAUUGUGUUUAUACCUUUAUUGAGCAAGUCAUUUAUUUCUUAUAUUAAGCUAGCAGUUUAAAUUUUAAAUUUAGGAAAGCAUAGUCUGUGUCUUAUUCAUUUUUGUAUGCCCCACAGUGCAUAACAGAUAAGAGUUAUGAAUGAAGGAAUAAAUUAGUGUAUGAUCUGGAAUCUGUCUAAACCUCUUCUUUGUUCACUUCUCUAUUAUAACUGAAAUGAAAUCCUGCCAAUAUUUCACACACAUACCCGGCCCCUUCUAUUUUUUCAGCCGUUUGUUAUAUCUAGCCUCUGCUUUCCAAUCCAGCUAAGCAAAUCUGCUUGGCAUGGUACAUGCUUUUCCUGUCUUUAAGCCAUCACAUAAAAGAUGACUCCUCUGACAACCUGUUCCCGCCUUUAAAAUAUUGUUUCAGACCCUCCUUCAACAUGAAGUAUCCCAGGGUACUACCCUCCAAUUCCAGCUACCUCGGGAUCUUCUACUUCACAUAUUUCAGGUAUCUAAUAUCUGUCUAAAAAUCUUUAUGAUUCAUCAGAACAGUAGACAAUUUUUAGGUUAAGUCUUUUUUAAAAUGAUAGUCUCUCUAUGAGAAAUGCUAUAUACAUGGCAGAUGCAGCCAUAAAAAGGAACAGCAGCAGCAAAAAGAAUUAAUAAAUUCAUCUUGUAAUAUUCUUCUUUCAGUUGCUACAACAUUGCAUUCUUUGGCUUUUCUAACUCACUGAGGGCUCCU
Sus scrofa (pig) is the source of this 4185-nucleotide non-coding RNA. NCBI's taxonomy places the organism in Eukaryota, Metazoa, Chordata, Mammalia, Artiodactyla, Suidae. The record is from RefSeq and is a predicted model, not a curated record.